AGUUGGGGGCAUCAGUAUUCUGAAGCGAGAGGUGAAAUUCUUGGACCUUCGGAAGACUAACAACUGCGAAAGCAUUUGCCUAGGAUGUUCUCUUUAAUCAAGAACGAAAGUUGGGGGAUCGAAGACGAUCAGAUACCGUCGUAGUCUCAACUAUAAACUAUGCCAGCUAGGGAUUGGUGGACGUUUAUUUACGACUCCAUCAGCACCUUAUGAGAAAUCAAAGCAUUUGGGUUCCGGGGGGAGUAUGGUCGCAAGGCUGAAACUUAAAGGAAUUGACGGGAGGGCACCACCAGGAGUGGAGCCUGUGGCUUAAUUUGACUCAACACGGGAAAACUUACCAGGUCCGGACAUAGUAAGGAUUGACAGAUUGAUAGCUCUUUCUUGAUUCUAUGGGUGGUGGUGCA
RNAcentral lists this ribosomal RNA (404 nucleotides) under uncultured marine eukaryote. Its description in RNAcentral is "SSU rRNA". It matches the Rfam family "Eukaryotic small subunit ribosomal RNA", at positions 880 to 1284 of the family's 1831-position model. The record is from RNAcentral.